This 301-nucleotide ribosomal RNA is filed under the name uncultured bacterium. RNAcentral's name for it is "partial 16S ribosomal RNA". It matches the Rfam family "Bacterial small subunit ribosomal RNA", at positions 509 to 809 of the family's 1533-position model. The record is from RNAcentral.
CAGCCGCCGCGGUAAUACAGAGGGUGCGAGCGUUAAUCGGAUUUACUGGGCGUAAAGCGUGCGUAGGCGGCUUCUUAAGUCGGAUGUGAAAUCCCUGAGCUUAACUUAGGAAUUGCAUUCGAUACUGGGAAGCUAGAGUAUGGGAGAGGAUUGUAGAAUUCCAGGUGUAGCGGUGAAAUGCGUAGAGAUCUGGAGGAAUACCGAUGGCGAAGGCAGCCAUCUGGCCUAAUACUGACGCUGAGGUACGAAAGCAUGGGGAGCAAACAGGAUUAGAUACCCCCGUAGUCCCUGUCUCUUAUAA